AUUGAACGCUGGCGGCAGGCUUAACACAUGCAAGUCGAGCGGGGGAAGGUAGCUUGCUACCGGACCUAGCGGCGGACGGGUGAGUAAUGCUUAGGAAUCUGCCUAUUAGUGGGGGACAACAUCUCGAAAGGGAUGCUAAUACCGCAUACGUCCUACGGGAGAAAGCAGGGGAUCUUCGGACCUUGCGCUAAUAGAUGAGCCUACGUCGGAUUAGCUAGUUGGUGGGGUAAAGGCCUACCAAGGCGACGAUCUGUAGCGGGUCUGAGAGGAUGAUCCGACACACUGGGACUGAAACACGGCCCAGACUCCUACGGGAGGCAGCAGUGGGGAAUAUUGGACAAUGGGGGGAACCCUGAUCCAGCCAUGCCGCGUGUGUGAAGAAGGCCUUAUGGUUGUAAAGCACUUUAAGCGAGGAGGAGGCUACUCUAGUUAAUACCUAGGGAUAGUGGACGUUACUCGCAGAAUAAGCACCGGCUAACUCUGUGCCAGCCGCCGCAGUAA
Molecule: ribosomal RNA, 501 nt
Filed under: uncultured bacterium
Lineage: Bacteria
Description: partial 16S ribosomal RNA
Rfam family: Bacterial small subunit ribosomal RNA
Source: RNAcentral